Molecule: ribosomal RNA, 392 nt
Filed under: uncultured Gammaproteobacteria bacterium
Lineage: Bacteria; Pseudomonadati; Pseudomonadota; Gammaproteobacteria
Description: bacterial SSU rRNA
Rfam family: Bacterial small subunit ribosomal RNA
Source: RNAcentral
AAUGGAGGAAACUCUGAUGCAGCGAUGCCGCGUGAGUGAAGAAGGCCCUUGGGUUGCAAAGCUCUUUCGUCGGGGAAGAAAAUGACUGUACCCGAAUAAGAAGGUCCGGCUAACUUCGUGCCAGCAGCCGCGGUAAUACGAAGGGACCUAGCGUAGUUCGGAAUUACUGGGCUUAAAGAGUUCGUAGGUGGUUGAAAAAGUUAGUGGUGAAAUCCCAGAGCUUAACUCUGGAACUGCCAUUAAAACUUUUCAGCUAGAGUAUGAUAGAGGAAAGCAGAAUUUCUAGUGUAGAGGUGAAAUUCGUAGAUAUUAGAAAGAAUACCAAUUGCGAAGGCAGCUUUCUGGAUCAUUACUGACACUGAGGAACGAAAGCAUGGGUAGCGAAGAGGAUU